UGCAGUCGACGGCAGCAUAGGAGCUUGCUCCUGAUGGCGAGUGGCGAACGGGUGAGUAAUAUAUCGGAACGUGCCCUAGAGUGGGGGAUAACUAGUCGAAAGACUAGCUAAUACCGCAUACGAUCUACGGAUGAAAGUGGGGGAUCGCAAGACCUCAUGCUCCUGGAGCGGCCGAUAUCUGAUUAGCUAGUUGGUGGGGUAAAAGCCUACCAAGGCAACGAUCAGUAGCUGGUCUGAGAGGACGACCAGCCACACUGGGACUGAGACACGGCCCAGACUCCUACGGGAGGCAGCAGUGGGGAAUUUUGGACAAUGGGGGCAACCCUGAUCCAGCAAUGCCGCGUGAGUGAAGAAGGCCUUCGGGUUGUAAAGCUCUUUUGUCAGGGAAGAAACGGUAGUAGCGAAUAACUAUUACUAAUGACGGUACCUGAAGAAUAAGCACCGGCUAACUACGUGCCAGCAGCCGCGGUAAUACGUAGGGUGCAAGCGUUAAUCGGAAUUACUGGGCGUAAAGCGUGCGCAGGCGGUUGUGUAAGUCAGAUGUGAAAUCCCCGGGCUCAACCUGGGAAUUGCAUUUGAGACUGCACGGCUAGAGUGUGUCAGAGGGGGGUAGAAUUCCACGU
This 623-nucleotide ribosomal RNA is filed under the name Herbaspirillum huttiense. RNAcentral describes it as "bacterial SSU rRNA". It matches the Rfam family "Bacterial small subunit ribosomal RNA", at positions 56 to 674 of the family's 1533-position model. Lineage: Bacteria; Pseudomonadati; Pseudomonadota; Betaproteobacteria; Burkholderiales; Oxalobacteraceae. The record is from RNAcentral.